GACGAACGCUGGCGGCGUGCCUAACACAUGCAAGUCGAACGGAACUGUUUUGAAAGCUUUCUUCGGAAUGAAUUUGAUUUCGUUUAGUGGCGGACGGGUGAGUAACGCGUGAGUAACCUGCCUUCAAGAGGGGAAUAACAUUCUGAAAAGAAUGCUAAUACCGCAUGACAUAUCGGAACCACAUGGUUUUGAUAUCAAAGAUUUUAUCGCUUGAAGAUGGACUCGCGUCCGAUUAGUUAGUUGGUGAGGUAACGGCUCACCAAGACCGCGAUCGGUAGCCGGACUGAGAGGUUGAACGGCCACAUUGGGACGGAGACACGGCCCAGACUCCUACGGGAGGCAGCAGUGGGGGAUAUUGCGCAAUGGGGGCAACCCUGACGCAGCAACGCCGCGUGAAGGAUGAAGGUUUUCGGAUUGUAAACUUCUUUUAUUAAGGACGAAAAAUGACGGUACUUAAUGAAUAAGCUCCGGCUAACUACGUG
RNAcentral lists this ribosomal RNA (482 nucleotides) under uncultured bacterium. RNAcentral describes it as "partial 16S ribosomal RNA". It matches the Rfam family "Bacterial small subunit ribosomal RNA", at positions 28 to 507 of the family's 1533-position model. The record is from RNAcentral.